RNAcentral lists this long non-coding RNA (5018 nucleotides) under Capsella rubella. RNAcentral's name for it is "long non-coding RNA (CRUB_LNC005015)". Lineage: Eukaryota; Viridiplantae; Streptophyta; Magnoliopsida; Brassicales; Brassicaceae. The record is from RNAcentral.
AAAAAAGCAUUCACCUGUUUUUAUUUCUUGGUCAAAACCUGCUUCUCAAUCAAAUUUAUGUAUAAAUAUUUUUUUCCUUUUAAAUUGAUUCCUCUCCAUGAUGUUUUCACUCUAGGGAAUCAAAUUUUCGUACAAAGCAUUAAAAAAAAAAAUCUCACCCAAUCUUAUUUUCCAAAAUAACAUUAUUUCAGAUUUUGUUUCCUAAAUAUUUUACAUUCCAUUCCAACUAAAACAAAUUACAGGAAAAUCAAUAUGGAAACAGAAACUAUGAUAUAUUUAACCACACCUUCUAUUCUGUUUUGAACAUAUUCUAUCUCUAAAUGAUUUGCAAACAAAGAAUACAACAAUUUGAUUCCCAUUUUGUUUUCCAAUACCUGUGAGCUUUGAUUCUAAACGUAAGAAGAACUUUGAUUCACAUUUAUUUAAAUAUUAUAAUUGAUAUAUAUUACGAAUAUGUAAAAUAAAAGUUUUUAAAAAUGCUAUAUAAUAUGGUUAUAUAGUAGAUGAGUUAUAAAGAGGACAUGUUGGAAUUAAUAAAAUAUCAUUAAAGUUGUGCUACCAUAGGUUAAAUCCUCAUUUUAUUAUUUUUAAAAUCAUAGCGUAAAAUUGACUUACUAUGUAUUUAGAUCCAUUAUUUUUUGUUAUAAUACUUAAAAUUGAAAUAGAAUCUCAAACACUAAACAAAACAAACUAAAUAUAACAAACAAAUGGUCAUGUAAUAUACAACGGGUUAAAAAAUUAAUUUAAACAUUUAGCCGUACAAACUGCCGGAAAAUUUAGUUAUUCCUCUAUUUAUAAAACAUCCAAUAUUUAACAAACAAAUACAACAUAAAAUAUAAAUGAUAAUAAAAUUAUAUACACACGGUGUACCGCGGGUUAAAAUCUAAUGUAGAGCAAAAAUGGAGCUAUUAUUAUAAUAUCAUAGUUUAAUAUGGGAAAAUGUCAAAAAAAUCAUCAACUUUUAAAUUUGGGACUAAAAAAUAUCAAAUUUCAAAAUAUCAUUUAAAUCAUGAAGUUUGUUUGACUUUUUGAUAAGGUAGUCAAGUUUUGUUGAUCUUACCGUUGGGCAUAACAUUAAUUUUCCGCUAAAACUAAUAUUUCCGCAUAACAUUAACCAAAAGACUUUAAAACAUCUUCUUUUUACUAAAACUUUGAUGCCAUAUUGAAUGAUUAGCAUCCCACCCUCUUCUCCCAUGUGGAGCAGAAAUGGAGCUAUUAUAUCAUUGUUUUAAUAUGUAUUGAUAUAUAGUUGUCAAGAAAAUAAAUUAUUGAUAUCGACAUCAAAUAUGGACCCACGUAAGAUUGUCGUAGUGUCCUAGUUAGACCAUUGUCGGUGUUACCUGCAUAUGUUGCUGAGGCCAGUUCAUUACUUAGGGUUUUUAGUUUGAAAAUCGUCAAAAAAUCUCGUUUACAAAAAAAAUCAUUGUCCUUUAGGAAAUAUCCCUAAAAAUCUGAUGGAGGUCUUAAUCCAGUACAACAAAAAAAAAACCACAAGAACACUUUCUCCUUAGGCAAAACUGAACAUACCAUUUAUUCAUAUGUUUUUGUGUUUUGGAACCACAAAGUUCAUAGAAUUGGUAAAAACAAAUACGCAUAUAAUUAAAACUAAUAAGGACUAUGUUCAGAAACUCUCUUUGAACAUGGGAAGUGCCCUCCUAUUAUUGUGCUUCGGAAAUAACAUAUCAAAUUAAACGGAAAGAUAACCAAGUUAUUUUAAGUCCAAAUACUUCGUUUUUUUUUGUUUGCUUGAACGUUGAGGUCGCUUCUCAUCAUCUUCCACCGUCAACCUCAUCAAAACCUAACCGGUACUGGGGAGAAAGUUCACAAUCCUUGACGAUCUAAUUCUGAGCAGGGAAGUCCUCUCCCUUAAAAUACCUCUCCAACAUGUCUUUCGUCCCCGCCGCAUAUCGUAGCUAUAAAUUAAAAACUGGUUUAAAUAAGUUCCAGAUGACCAAGUAAUGUGCAUAUUAAAGAAAGCUACUACUAAACUAGUGAUGUGCAUAUUAAAAAAAGCUACUACUAAAAAGUAACUACAGAGAAUGAAUGGCUGACUGUAGCUUUGUGACUUCCCAUUUAGCUCGAUACUAGGUUUGAACUGCGGUACACCGCGGGUCUGUAUUUUCAUAAUUAUUUCCGGGAAAUACUACUUUUUCUUAUAUGUUUUUUAUCGGAUAUAUAGUUAUUAAUUAAGUAAUCGAUGCGAUGUACAUAUAUUUUGUAGGGUAUUUUGUGUUGGAAAAGGGCUUUUCCAUACCUAGACAGUUGCACUAUGUUGAAUUCAUACAUUUGACUAUUCAAUGUGCCUAAAAAUAUAUUAAAUUUUAAAUAAUUUGAAUUUCAAACCUAAACUUUAAUUUUUGUGCCUUACCAUACCAAAACGUUUUUAUUGCUUAACUCCGUUAACCUUCCGUUUUAUUCAUUGCUGUUAUAAAUUAUAUUUGUUUUUAAGAUAAUUGUCUUUUCUCUUUUAUAUUUAUAUAGUUUACAACUUAAAAUGUGUUAGUUUUUUGUUAAAUUUUAUUGGAUACUAUAUUAUUGUAGAUUUGUUUUGUUUGAUAGAGUAGUAUAAAGAUAUGUGGUAGGUCAAAAUAUUUUUGUUUGUUGGACAUAUAUACAAAUCAAUUAUUCUAUUAAAAUUUAUAAAAUAAAAUUAUUAGUUUAGAAGUAAGAACAUGAACUAUGAUUAAAAUUUAUAAUAUAUGAUAACUGAAUAGUUUUAGUGUUGAUUUAAUUAUUCAAACCUGCCAUGCUAAACCCGUCUCACAACAGGUAUACAAAUUUUUUACCCAUACCAUUUAUGAAAUAGAAUGUACCAUAAGUGGAGAUAUAUUUCCUGAAAAUAAAUGUUACCUAUGUUUUAUGGAUCCUUUUCUAAAGAUAAAAGAAAUGAAAAUCAAAUUAGGUAAAAAGGGUAGAUUUAUCGAAUUAUAAUCCAGUUAAAGAAGAUAAUCACUGCAAUGUUGAUUAGAUGGUUACACAUGAAUCCAAUCAAGAACUCUUCGAUUUAAGUUUUGUUUGCUUGAUCAUUAUUUAAUAUACUAGGUUGUGAACCCACGCUAUGCGUGAGUUUAUUUGAUAUAUUUUGGGAAAAAUUAUAUUUGAUUGAUGAUAGUUAUAAAAUUUUAUACAAAAAGUUAAAUUACUUUUAAGGCAUAAAAAUUCACUUCAAAUACACACUUUUAAAAAUUAUAAAAAUCAGUUUUGUUAAGGAAUUAAAUAAGAUCAAAAGAAUCACGGAUCAAUCUUGCUUUCUCAUAUUUAUUUUUCCUCACAUUCAUCGUUUUCGUAUUUUUCAUAUAUAUCAGGGCGAAAAUAGCUUAUGUCCACACAAAUCACAUGGACUAUGUAUCUAUCAAGUCGUUGGUGAGCAAGAGAGGAUGUUUGGGAGGGAACUACAAUUGAUCACCAAUAUUGAGGGUUGGGUACAUUUCCUUGUACUUCUGGGUUUUCUUUCUUAGGCGUUUGUGGAGCUACUAAUGGUUUACUUAAACAUAAGUAAAUCUUGUUGUUUCCUUUUAUAUAAGGUUUAAAGUUGUCACUAGUGUUUUCCUUCACCACCUCACAUGCAUAAUGGUGAUCUUGGUUGUCUUUGAUCUUUGCAACAUCUUUCAUUGUCUCACUAGUUUGAGACCUAGAAGGAACGACAAACAUGGGCACCAUAUAGGUUACUCGUAGCUUCAUGACUUUAUAUGACUGUUCAACAACACAUUUUCUUCACAAUAAUACUUAAUAAGUUGAUAAAGGUCAGUAUGGACUUGUGUAUGAAUUUACAUCUAGGGUGGAAGAGGGCCUAGUUUCAACAUCAAUGGCCCGAAGCAGGUCUUCUUUAUGCUUUCUCUCAUUUAUAUCUUUAUUUUAUGCCACUAAACUCUUACUUGGGCCAUAACAACCAUCUAUACUUGAUGCAAUUUUGACUUAAAUGAUACACGGCAUUCUCUUCGUUUCAUCAUUUUUUUCUUCAAUUACGAUGCCUUUUUAUUACACACGUUCCAUAUAGAGAAAAAAAUUUGGAUUAGCUGGAAUAAGCUUCAAGUAAAGCCAAACAAAUAAAUGGUGUUUAAGGAAACAUAGUGCAAAAUCCAAAAAAAAAAAUAUGAAGUUAUAGUCCUCCAAGAAAACAUACAUUUUAUGAUUAAAUUUUUGGAAUCAUGCUGCUUGACAUAGAAACUAUGACGAUCUAGUGAUUUGUGCUGAUUUUUAGCAUAUACUCCAGCCCAUACUUUCCCGAAAUCAGAGCGUCACCUAGCCUAUUUUUCUUGUUUCUGCUUUCAUUGAGACUUUUUAUUCAGUUCCAAAAAUUUUAGAGAAGUAAUCAACUCUAAUUGUGGCUGACGGCUCGGAAUUUACAACAUAAGAAAUUUGAUCAAAUGUAAUGCCUUUUGUUAUUAUUUAUACUGAAAAUAUGUAGGCUUAAUCAAAUAUAUAUAUUUGUUAAUAUUCUUUUUCUGAUUAAGAAAAUAAGAAUAAGAAAUGUAAGUUUUAUAUAUUUUUAUAUUUUUUUUCAAAAGUUUACAAUUCUCUUUUUCUUUAUAUUUUGUUUUUUUUUUAUUAAUAUUUUGUAUAAAAAAAUAAAUAGAGUUUAAAAAUGUUAAUUAAUAAGAUGGAAAAAUGUUAAUUAAUUAGAUGUCUUAUUAUUAUUGGUCGUUUAAAAUCUUAUGUGGACGUGUCAAGGAGCUUAUAGCCUCAACUUUUAUAUAGUAUAGAUUACAGAGUAGAAACGGAGGUUUUAAGGAAAAAUCACUAUGUAAAUAAGUAAUAAAGGUAUUAAAAAUUGUAGCCAAAAUUGAGUUAGUUCCGAUUACUAAAUAAUCUGAAUAUUCUUGUUUUGAAAUUAAUAGUUAGUCAAUAUUUUAUUGUACACAGAUUAUGAUUUUAUGGCCAUGAAUCAAAUCAGUACCCUAAAAUAAAUAAUCUUAUGAUGAACAUAUAUAUCAUGUAUAUUAGACUUAGUUUAUCGAAUAUUUUUUCUUUCGAUAUAAAUUUGUUGCUACUGAAAGUAGCAAAUCAAAUAAUGUUAU